RNAcentral lists this ribosomal RNA (1608 nucleotides) under Botaurus lentiginosus (american bittern). RNAcentral's name for it is "16S ribosomal RNA". It matches the Rfam family "Bacterial large subunit ribosomal RNA". Lineage: Eukaryota; Metazoa; Chordata; Aves; Pelecaniformes; Ardeidae. The record is from RNAcentral.
GCCUAGACCUAGCCCAACCACAUACAAUUAACUACUUAAUUACUAUAAAAAUCCACCUCACCACUAAACUAAAGCAUUAUUUAAACUUAGUAUAGGUGAUAGAAAAGGUCAACCCAUUGGCGCUAUAGAGAGUAGUACCGCAAGGGAAAGAGUGAAAUAACAAUGAAAAUACAAGCAGUAAACAGCAAAGAUUAAUCCUUGUACCUUUUGCAUUAUGAUUUAGCAAGAACAACCGAGCAAAAUGUAUUUAAGCUUGUCUUCCCGAAACCCAAGCGAGCUACUCACAGGCAGCUAUCCUUUGAGCGAAUCCGUCUCUGUUGCAAAAGAGUGGAACGACCUGUUAGUAGAGGUGAAAAGCCAACCGAGCUGGGUGAUAGCUGGUUGCCCGCGAAACGAAUCUAAGUUCUACCUUGACUUCCCCCAUCAAUGAACACUGACCAUUAACCGUGGAAAAUCAAGAGCAAUUUAAAGGGGGUACAGCCCCUUUAAAAAAGAAUACAACCUACCCUAGCGGAUAAACCCUCCUUUUUUCCCCUGUAGGCCUUAAAGCAGCCACCAAUAAAGAACGCGUCAAAGCUCACUUACCUAAAAAAAUCUAAAAACACCGUGAUUCCCUUACCCCUAACGGGCCAAUCUAUCUCCAUAGAAGAAUCAAUGCUAAAAUGAGUAACUUGGAGCCCCGCCCCUCUCUAGCGCAAGCUUACAUCCAUCCAAUUAUUAACAGACAAACUGAUAUCACAAACCUAACAAGCCCAAAUAUCAUUUCACCCUGUUACCCCCAACACCGGAGCGCAAUCAAGAAAGAUUAAAAUCUGUAAAAGGAACUAGGCAAACCCGGGGCCCGACUGUUUACCAAAAACAUAGCCUUCAGCUUAACCAAGUAUUGAAGGUGAUGCCUGCCCAGUGACCUACGUUUAACGGCCGCGGUAUCCUAACCGUGCAAAGGUAGCGCAAUCAAUUGUCCCAUAAAUCGAGACUUGUAUGAACGGCUAAACGAGGUCCCAACUGUCUCUUACAGAUAAUCAGUGAAAUUGAUCUUCCUGUGCAAAAGCAGGAAUAAACUCAUAAGACGAGAAGACCCUGUGGAACUUUAAAAUCAGCAACCACCCCACAAACAACUAUUAAGCCUACUAAGGCUCACUACCCAAAUAAACGCUGGUCUGCAUUUUUCGGUUGGGGCGACCUUGGAGAAAAACAAAUCCUCCAAAAAUAAGACCACACCUCUUAACAAAGAGAUACACCUCCACGUGCAAACAGCAACCAGACCCAAUACAAUUGAUUAAUGGACCAAGCUACCCCAGGGAUAACAGCGCAAUCUCCUUCAAGAGCCCAUAUCGACAAGGAGGUUUACGACCUCGAUGUUGGAUCAGGACAUCCUAAUGGUGCAGCCGCUAUUAAGGGUUCGUUUGUUCAACGAUUAAUAGUCCUACGUGAUCUGAGUUCAGACCGGAGCAAUCCAGGUCGGUUUCUAUCUAUGUUGAACUUCCCCCAGUACGAAAGGACCGGGAAAGUAAGGCCAAUGCUCCAAGCACGCCUUUCCUCUAAGUAAUGAAUUCAACUAAAUUACCAAAAGGACAUUCACCCCUAAUCACCCUAGAUGUAGGGUCA